RNAcentral lists this ribosomal RNA (1096 nucleotides) under Candidatus Phytoplasma solani. It matches the Rfam family "Bacterial small subunit ribosomal RNA", at positions 201 to 1300 of the family's 1533-position model. The record is from RNAcentral. Lineage: Bacteria; Bacillati; Mycoplasmatota; Mollicutes; Acholeplasmatales; Acholeplasmataceae.
UUAAAAGACCUAGCAAUAGGUAUGCUUAGGGAAGAGCUUGCGUCACAUUAGUUAGUUGGUGGGGUAAUGGCCUACCAAGACGAUGAUGUGUAGCCGGGCUGAGAGGUCGAACGGCCACAUUGGGACUGAGACACGGCCCAAACUCCUACGGGAGGCAGCAGUAAGGAAUUUUCGGCAAUGGAGGAAACUCUGACCGAGCAAUGCCGCGUGAACGAUGAAGUAUUUUGGUACGUAAAGUUCUUUUAUUAGGGAAGAAAAGAUGGUGGAAAAACCAUUAUGACGGUACCUAAUGAAUAAGCCCCGGCUAACUAUGUGCCAGCAGCCGCGGUAAUACAUAGGGGGCAAGCGUUAUCYGGAAUUAUUGGGCGUAAAGGGUGCGUAGGCGGUUAAAUAAGUUUAUGGUCUAAGUGCAACGCUCAACGUUGUGAUGCUAUAAAAACUGUUUAGCUAGAGUUGGAUAGAGGCAAGUGGAAUUCCGUGUGUAGUGGUAAAAUGCGUAAAUAUACGGAGGAACACCAGAAGCGAAGGCGGCUUGCUGGGUCUUAACUGACGCUGAGGCACGAAAGCGUGGGGAGCAAACAGGAUUAGAUACCCUGGUAGUCCACGCCCUAAACGAUGAGUACUAAACGUUGGAUAAAACCAGUGUUGAAGUUAACACAUUAAGUACUCCGCCUGAGUAGUACGUACGCAAGUAUGAAACUUAAAGGAAUUGACGGGACUCCGCACAAGCGGUGGAUCAUGUUGUUUAAUUCGAAGGUACCCGAAAAACCUCACCAGGUCUUGACAUGCUUUUGCAAAGCUGUAGAAAUACAGUGGAGGUUAUCAGAAGCACAGGUGGUGCAUGGUUGUCGUCAGCUCGUGUCGUGAGAUGUUGGGUUAAGUCCCGCAACGAGCGCAACCCUUGUUGUYAAUUGCCAUCAUUAAGUUGGGGACUUUAGCAAGACUGCCAAUGAUAAAUUGGAGGAAGGUGGGGACGACGUCAAAUCAUCAUGCCCCUUAUGACCUGGGCUACAAACGUGAUACAAUGGCUGUUACAAAGGGYAGCUAAAGCGUAAGCUUCUGGCGAAUCUCAAAAAAACAGUCUCAGUUCGGAUUG